RNAcentral lists this ribosomal RNA (612 nucleotides) under Cicindela (Rivacindela) sp. JP-68c. RNAcentral describes it as "partial 16S ribosomal RNA". It matches the Rfam family "Bacterial large subunit ribosomal RNA", at positions 1844 to 2739 of the family's 2925-position model. The record is from RNAcentral. Lineage: Eukaryota; Metazoa; Arthropoda; Insecta; Coleoptera; Carabidae.
UUUAAGGUCUAACCUGCCCAAUGAGGAUUUAAAUGGCCGCAGUAUUUUGACUGUGCAAAGGUAGCAUAAUUAUUAGUUUUUUAAUUGAAAGCUUGUAUGAAGGGUUGGACGAGAUAAAAUCUGUCUUUAUUUAAAUUAAAGUAUAAUUUAACUUUUAAGUCAAAAGGCUUAAAUGUUUAUAAAAGACGAGAAGACCCUAUAGAUCUUUAUUUAGUUAAGAUUUUAAUAAUUUAGGAUUAUUUUAAUUUGGAGUCUUAAUUGAAUUUUAUUGGGGUAAUAUAAAGAUUAAAUGAAUUCUUUUUAUUUAUGACAUUAAUUUAUGAAUAUAUGAUCCAUUAAUAUUGAUUAUAAGAUUAAGUUACCUUAGGGAUAACAGCGUAAUUUUUUUGGAGAGCUCAUAUCGAUAAGAAAGUUUGCGACCUCGAUGUUGGAUUAAAAAUUAGCUUGGGUGCAGAAGCUCAAGAUUUUGGUCUGUUCGACCAUUAAAUUUUUACAUGAUCUGAGUUCAGACCGGCGUAAGCCAGGUCGGUUUCUAUCUUUAUUCAAAUAAAAUAUUUUAGUACGAAAGGACCAAGUAUUUAAUAUAAUUAUAUUUAUUUUUUGAAGAAUAUU